Molecule: long non-coding RNA, 823 nt
Organism: Paramisgurnus dabryanus
Lineage: Eukaryota; Metazoa; Chordata; Actinopteri; Cypriniformes; Cobitidae
Source: RefSeq, a predicted model, not a curated record
GUUUUGCAGGUGUAACCCCCAUUGUGUUCAGUGGGGGUUUUGGUGGAGCUUGUCUUUGGCUUGUGGUGUACCUAAUAGACUUGUUAAAUCCAGGAUACAGGUUCCACAAAGGCAUCCGAAAAGGCCAUUGAUCAUCUGUAUACCACAAAGGAUGAUCUGCAGAAUGCUGACGAAAAACAGUACUGAGAACAGACCACUAUUAAAUUUCACCACGUUCUUUGGCUCAGUGCAUUUUUCCCAUGAAGCGCGGUCUUUAAGGGAGUUAUCCAUUCAUCACCAACUUUACAGAGGGGCCCAUGAUAAAGGCCCAACACUGCCACUGAGAAACUAUAGAGGGCACCAGCAACACCCACGGCUGCAAGUAUAAUGGACAGAAACAUCUAAAACAGAAAAUGGGCAUCAGAGUAUUUACUAUUCAGUUGAACUGUUCUUAAACCACUAAGCAAGCAUUUCAAAAUAAUUUUUGGAGUUCUUUGUUCCUGUCCUGAUGACCGGUUAAAGGAUCAAACAAGAAGCAAAACCACAAAUGUAUAUGUGUAUUUUUAUGCUGCUGCUGUUUCCUGUUGUUUCAUUUGUCAGGUGUUGCACAUUUUUAUGCUUGUUUUAGUUCCUGGAUCUUUAUGGUAUUGGGAUUCUUCAAGUUUGAUUAAAAUAGUCAUUGCAUAUGGGUUCAAAUUUAAAGUGGAUCAUGUAACACAACUUCCUUUUUAUUUUAUCUCGAGUUAGUUUAGCGCAGGUGCUUUCUCAUAACUGAAUUUCUAAAGGAUUGUAGACAUUAUUAAAUGGCAAAUAAAAAAUAAAUGAGUAUGUUGGUGGGUUUGUA